GUAGUCCCAGCUACUUGGUAGGCUGAGGUAGGAGGAUUGAGGUGGAGGCUUCAAUGAGCUGUGAUUGCACCACUGCACCCCAGCCUUGGUGACAGAGCAAAGGAAAAAUAAAACUUAAAUUUUUUUCCAACAUACAUACCGAAGUAUUUAGAGAUGAAGUAUUUAUUUUGUCUGCAACUUACUUUCCAAAGUUGGCAACAAAAAAAAGUGUGUGCAUAAAAAAAAUAGAUACAUGGAGAAAGAGAGAGCAUGUAAACGAACAUGGCAAGAUGUUAACAAUUGGUGAAUCUCUAGGUUAUGUGGGUGCUCACUGCACUAUUCUUUUAAAUUUAUUUUUAUUUUUGUUGUUUUUCAGAGACAGGGUCUUGCUCUAUCACCCAGGCUAGAGUGUAGUGGCACCAAGAUAGCUCCCUGCAGCCUCAAACUCCUGGGCUCAAGUGACGCUCCCUUCUCAGCCUCCCAAGUAGCUGGGACUACACAGGUGUGCUCCACCACACCUGGUUAAUUAAAAAAAUUUUUUGUAGACACAGGGUCUCACUUUGUUGUCCAAGCUGGUCUUGAACUUCUGGAUUUUGGCGAUCCUCCUGCCUUGACUUCACAAAGUGCUCGGAUUACAGGUGUGAGCCACUGCACUUGCCAUUGCAUUACUUUUUAACUUUAUUAAAAUAAAGAGUUGGGGCCGGGGCCAGAUUUUCUAUUUUUCCUGGGACAAUUUUGGUCAUUUGUAUCUUUCUAGGAAUUUUUUUGUUGUUGUUUUGAGACAGAGUCUCACUCUGUCACCCAAGCUGGAGUGCAAUGGCAUGAUCUCAGCUCACUGCAACCUCUGCCUCCUGGGUUCAAGUGAUUUUCCUGCCUCAGCCUCGUGAAUAGCUGGGAUUACAGGUGUGAGCCACCACGCCUGGCUAAUUUUUGUGUUUUUAGUAGAGACAGGGUUUCACCACUUUGGCCAGGUUGGUCUCGAACUUCUGACCUCAGGUGAUCUGCCUGCCUCGGCCUCCCAAAGUGCCGCGAUUACAGGCGUGAGCCACCACACCCAGCCAAGAUGUCGCAUCUUUUUAAAUGUUGGCAUUUGCAGCUAUAAAUUUCCCUCAGAGCAGUUUUUGCCGCAUUCCUUAAGUUCUGGUAUGUUGUUUUCAUCCAUCUCUAUUUCCUAAUUUUUCUCGUGAUUUCUCCUUUGACCCUUUGGCUGUUAAAAAGUGUGUUCAAUUUCUAUGUAUGUGUGAAUUUUCAUUUUCCUUCUGGUAUGGAUUUCUGGUUUUAUUCCAUUGUGAUUGGAGAAGGUGGUUUGCAGGAUUCCGAUCUCUAAUUUACUGAGACUUGCUUUGUGCACUAACGUGUGGUCUGUCCUGGAGAACGUUCCCUGUGCACUUAGAAACGUGUGUUCUGCUGCUAUUGGGUGGAGCACUGUUAAGUCUGGUCAGCCUUUUGGUUUUUAUGUAAUACUUGGCACAUUCACAAGAAAAUGUGUGAAACAGAAAGUACGACAAAGUGAAACCCACGAAGCCACCACUGACCCUGAGGUUCAAAACCUCCAGCAUCUCUGCUCUUCCCUAAGCACAGCUCCGUCCCCUCCCCACGGGUGAGCACUGUGUUGUACUGACUCCCUGCCCUCCCUGAUGACUUUAGCACCUGGGUAUGAAUUCCACACAUAUUUGGUUUUGAGCUUUAUAAAAAUGGCAUCAUACUGUAUGAACUGUCUUGCUUUUUCAUCCCACGUUGUUUCUGAGAGGUGUUUGUGAUGGAGCACAGGGCCAC
This 1755-nucleotide long non-coding RNA is filed under the name Homo sapiens (human). RNAcentral describes it as "HSALNT0122024". The record is from RNAcentral. Lineage: Eukaryota; Metazoa; Chordata; Mammalia; Primates; Hominidae.